GCAUCUUACAAUCAUUCCGUUCACUAAAUAAAGUGGCCUUAUUGCUUACAGUAUCCGGAAAAUAAACCAAACCACAAAAACGAAACAUUUUCAUAGUUCCUUAUACCCUGUCACAUUCGUAAUGUAUGUGCCUGUUCCAAGUCAGGAGCCUAUAAUUCAGUGAUUGUCCUUUGUUUAUGUGUAACAUUUAACUGUUUUCCAUUUUUUGUACAUAAAUUAGGUUGUUAGUUUUCUGGUUUGAAUUGUUUUUGUUGUCAUUUCUGGACCUUUUAUAGCUGACUAUGCAGUAUAACUGGGAGUACUCUCAGAUCUGUUAAUUGUGUCUUUUUGUGUAGGGAUGUAUAAAUACCCGGCCACGUCCACUUGUAUUUUUGUCCAUCUGAUGAGUUAAGCCUUUUUCAACUGAUUUUUAUAGUUUAUUCUUAUGUUGUACUGUUAUACCACUGUCGCAGGUUAGGGGGAGGGUUGGGAUCCCGCUAACAUGUUUAACCCCGCCACAUUAUUUAUGUAUGUGCCUGUCCCAAGUCAGGAGCCUGUAAAUCAGUGGUUGUCGUCUGUUUAUGUGUUACAUAUUUGUUUUUCGUUCAUUUCUUUAUAUAAAUAAGGCCGUUAGUUUUCUCGUUUGAAUUGUUUUACAUUGUCUUAGCGGGGCCUUUUAUAGCUGACUAUGCGGUAUGGGCUUUGCUCAUUGUUGAAGGCUGUACGGUGACGUUUAGUUGUUAAUGUCUGAGUCAUUUUGGUCUCUUGUGGACAGUUGUCUCAUUGGCAAUCAUACCACAUCUUCUUUUUUAUAUUUGUUCAUUGUUAAGGCUGUAGGGUGACCUUGAGUUGUUAAUUUCUGUUUCAUUUGGUCUCUCAUGGGGAGUUGUCCAAUCAUAC
Molecule: long non-coding RNA, 879 nt
Filed under: Mytilus galloprovincialis (Mediterranean mussel)
Lineage: Eukaryota; Metazoa; Mollusca; Bivalvia; Mytilida; Mytilidae
Source: RNAcentral